UACAUCUUCAACAGGUGCGGUCGCGGCCUCUGGGCAACCAGGUGGUUUCGCGCCGCAUUCCUGCAUCCUUUUUUUACGAGCACCUUUCGUUCUCCUUCGGCGGGGCAACCUGCCGCUGGAACUUAACAAAACCUUUUUUUGCAUCUAGCAUUACCUGUUCUGAUACAAACAAUCGUUACAACUUUCAACAAUGGAUCUCUUGGCUCUGGCAUCGAUGAAGAACGCAGCGAAAUGCGAUAAGUAGUGUGAAUUGCAGAAUUCAGUGAAUCAUCGAAUCUUUGAACGCACAUUGCGCCCCUUGGUGUUCCAUGGGGCAUGCCUGUUCGAGCGUCAUCUACACCCUCAAGCUCUGCUUGGUGUUGGGCGUCUGUCCCGCCUCUGCGCGCGGGCUCGCCCCAAAUUCAUUGGCAGCGGUCCUUGCCUCCUCUCGCGCAGCACAUUGCGUUUCUUGAGGGGCGCGGGUCGCGUCCACGAAGCGACAUUUAGUCUUUGACCUCGGACCAGGUAGGGAUACCCGCUGAACUUAAGCAUAUCAAUAAGCGGAGGA
This 547-nucleotide small RNA is filed under the name uncultured fungus. Its description in RNAcentral is "eukaryotic LSU rRNA". The stretch from base 180 to 333 matches the Rfam family "5.8S ribosomal RNA". The record is from RNAcentral. Lineage: Eukaryota; Fungi.